Molecule: ribosomal RNA, 459 nt
Filed under: uncultured bacterium
Lineage: Bacteria
Description: partial 16S ribosomal RNA
Rfam family: Bacterial small subunit ribosomal RNA
Source: RNAcentral
CCUACGGGAGGCAGCAGUGAGGAAUAUUGGUCAAUGGGCGCGAGCCUGAACCAGCCAAGUCGCGUGAGGGAAGACGGUCCUAUGGAUUGUAAACCUCUUUUGUCGGGGAGCAAACGACGCCACGCGUGGCGUUCCGAGAGUACCCUAAGAAAAAGCAUAGGCUAACACCGCGCCAGCAGCCGCGGUAAGACGGGGGAUGCGAGCGUUAUCCGGAUUUAUUGGGUUUAAAGGGUGCGCAGGCGGCAGAUCAAGUCAGCGGUAAAAUUGAGAGGCUCAACCUCUUAGAGCCGUUGAAACUGGUUUGCUUGAGUGAGCGAGAGGUGUGCGGAAUGCGUGGUGUAGCGGUGAAAUGCGUAGAUAUCACGCAGAACACCGAUGGCGAAGGCAGCAUACCGGCGCUCAACUGACGCUCAUGCACGAAAGUGUGGGUAUCGAACAGGAUUAGAUACCCCAGUAGUC